Molecule: ribosomal RNA, 496 nt
Filed under: uncultured Eubacteriales bacterium
Lineage: Bacteria; Bacillati; Bacillota; Clostridia; Eubacteriales
Description: bacterial SSU rRNA
Rfam family: Bacterial small subunit ribosomal RNA
Source: RNAcentral
GACGAACGCUGGCGGCGUGCUUAACACAUGCAAGUCGAACGAGAAUACUUAGACAGAAGCCUUCGGGUGGAAGACUUUGUAAUCGAGUGGCGGACGGGUGAGUAACGCGUGAGUAACCUGCCUUAAAGAGGGGAAUAACAACGAGAAAUCGUUGCUAAUACCGCAUAAGACUACAGGAUCGCAUGAUCCAGGAGUCAAAGAUUUAUCGCUUUAAGAUGGACUCGCGUCCCAUUAGCUAGUUGGUAGGGUAAUGGCCUACCAAGGCGACGAUGGGUAGCCGGACUGAGAGGUCGAUCGGCCACACUGGGACUGAGACACGGCCCAGACUCCUACGGGAGGCAGCAGUGGGGAAUAUUGCACAAUGGGGAAACCCUGAUGCAGCGACGCCGCGUGAACGAAGACGGUCCUCUGGAUUGUAAAGUUCUGUCAACGGGGCGAUAAUGACGGUACCCGUGGAAGGAGCCACGGCUAACUACGUGCCAGCCGCCGCGGUAAC